This 1598-nucleotide ribosomal RNA is filed under the name human metagenome. Its description in RNAcentral is "bacterial LSU rRNA". It matches the Rfam family "Bacterial large subunit ribosomal RNA", at positions 741 to 2351 of the family's 2925-position model. The record is from RNAcentral.
CAGGUUGAAGGUGCGGUAAAACGCACUGGAGGACCGAACCAGGGCACGUUGAAAAGUGCUUGGAUGACUUGUGGGUAGCGGAGAAAUUCCAAACGAACUUGGAGAUAGCUGGUUCUCUCCGAAAUAGCUUUAGGGCUAGCGUCGACAUUAAGAUUCUUGGAGGUAGAGCACUGUUUGGGUGAGGGGUCCAUCCCGGAUUACCAAUCUCAGAUAAACUCCGAAUGCCAAUGAAUUAUGGUCGGCAGUCAGACUGCGAGUGCUAAGAUCCGUAGUCGAAAGGGAAACAGCCCAGACCACCAGCUAAGGUCCCAAAAUAAUUGUUAAGUGGAAAAGGAUGUGGGGUUGCACAGACAACUAGGAUGUUAGCUUAGAAGCAGCUAUUCAUUCAAAGAGUGCGUAAUAGCUCACUAGUCGAGUGACCCUGCGCCGAAAAUGUACCGGGGCUAAAACAAUUUACCGAAGCUGUGGAUACCUUUAUAGGUAUGGUAGGAGAGCGUUCUAUGUGUGGAGAAGGUGUACCGUGAGGAGCGCUGGAACGCAUAGAAGUGAGAAUGCCGGUAUGAGUAGCGAAAGACAGGUGAGAAUCCUGUCCACCGUAAGACUAAGGUUUCCAGGGGAAGGCUCGUCCGCCCUGGGUUAGUCGGGACCUAAGGAGAGACCGAAAGGUGUAUCCGAUGGACAACAGGUUGAUAUUCCUGUACUAGAGUAUGUAGUGAUGGAGGGACGCAGUAGGCUAACUAAAGCAGACGAUUGGAAGUGUCUGUCUAAGCAGUGAGGUGUGAAUUGAGUUAAAUGCUUAAUUCUAUAACAUUGAGCUGUGAUGGGGAGCGAAGUUUAGUAGCGAAGUUAGUGACGUCACACUGCCAAGAAAAGCUUCUAGCGUUUAAACAUACUCUACCCGUACCGCAAACCGACACAGGUAGUCGAGGCGAGUAGCCUCAGGUGAGCGAGAGAACUCUCGUUAAGGAACUCGGCAAAAUGACCCCGUAACUUCGGGAGAAGGGGUGCUGGUAGCAAUACCAGCCGCAGUGAAUAGGCCCAGGCGACUGUUUAUCAAAAACACAGGUCUCUGCAAAAUCGAAAGAUGACGUAUAGGGGCUGACGCCUGCCCGGUGCUGGAAGGUUAAGAGGAGAGGUUAGCGCAAGCGAAGCUUUGAAUUGAAGCCCCAGUAAACGGCGGCCGUAACUAUAACGGUCCUAAGGUAGCGAAAUUCCUUGUCGGGUAAGUUCCGACCCGCACGAAAGGCGUAAUGAUUUGGGCACUGUCUCAACGAGAGACUCGGUGAAAUUUUAGUACCUGUGAAGAUGCAGGUUACCCGCGACAGGACGGAAAGACCCCAUGGAGCUUUACUGUAGUUUGAUAUUGAGUGUUUGUGUCACAUGUACAGGAUAGGUAGGAGCUGAAGAAUCCGGGACGCCAGUUUCGGAGGAGGCAACGGUGGGAUACUACCCUUGUGACAUGACCACUCUAACCCGCACCCCUUACCGGGGUGGGAGACAGUGUCAGACGGGCAGUUUGACUGGGGCGGUCGCCUCCUAAAAUGUAACGGAGGCGCCCAAAGGUUCCCUCAGAAUGGUUGGAAAUCAUUCGCAGAGUG